Molecule: ribosomal RNA, 487 nt
Filed under: uncultured bacterium
Lineage: Bacteria
Description: partial 16S ribosomal RNA
Rfam family: Bacterial small subunit ribosomal RNA
Source: RNAcentral
ACUCAAAUGAAUUGACGGGGGCCCGCACAAGCAGCGGAGCGUGUGGUUUAAUUCGAGGCUACACGAAGAACCUUACCUGGGCUUGACAUGACACUAGUAGGGAAGCGAAAGCGGACCGACCCGCAAGGGAGGUGUCACAGGUGCUGCAUGGCUGUCGUCAGCUCGUGCCGUGAGGUGUUAGGUUAAGUCCUGUAACGAGCGCAACCCUCGGAGCCAGUUACACGUGUCUGGCUCGACUGCCCGUGACAAGCGGGAGGAAGGUGGGGAUGACGUCAAGUCAGCAUGGCCUUUAUGUCCAGGGCUACACACACGCUACAAUGGCCGGUACAAUGGGUCGCCAAGCCGCAAGGCGGAGCCAAUCCAGUCAAAGCCGGUCACAGUUCGGAUUGUGGGCUGCAACCCGCCCACAUGAAGUUGGAGUUGCUAGUAACCGCGCGUCAGCCAUAGUGCGGUGAAUACGUUCCCGGGCCUUGUACACACCGCCCGU